GGGGAAUAUUGGGCAAUGGACGCAAGUCUGACCCAGCAACGCCGCGUGAAGGAAGAAGGCUUUCGGGUUGUAAACUUCUUUGAUGAGGGACGAAAAAAAUGACGGUACCUCAAAAACAAGCCACGGCUAACUACGUGCCAGCAGCCGCGGUAAUACGUAGGUGGCAAGCGUUGUCCGGAUUUACUGGGUGUAAAGGGCGUGUAGGCGGGUUAUCAAGUCAGGUGUGAAAUACCACGGCUCAACCGUGGGGCUGCACCUGAAACUGGUGAUCUUGAGUGCUGGAGAGGAAAGCGGAAUUCCUAGUGUAGCGGUGAAAUGCGUAGAUAUUAGGAGGAACACCAGUGGCGAAGGCGGCUUUCUGGACAGUAACUGACGCUGAGGCGCGAAAGCGUGGGGAGCAAACA
This 404-nucleotide ribosomal RNA is filed under the name uncultured Oscillospiraceae bacterium. RNAcentral's name for it is "bacterial SSU rRNA". It matches the Rfam family "Bacterial small subunit ribosomal RNA", at positions 356 to 774 of the family's 1533-position model. The record is from RNAcentral. Lineage: Bacteria; Bacillati; Bacillota; Clostridia; Eubacteriales; Oscillospiraceae.